Molecule: RNA transcript, 696 nt
Organism: Lemur catta (Ring-tailed lemur)
Lineage: Eukaryota; Metazoa; Chordata; Mammalia; Primates; Lemuridae
Gene name: T-complex protein 1 subunit gamma-like
Exons: 2
Source: RefSeq, a predicted model, not a curated record
AUGCCCACGAGAGCAGCUGCAGAGACUAUGGCUCCUGCAAGAGCAGUAUGGAGCAGAAGCAGUGCCCUGAGAGCACCAGGAGAGAGGAUGCAGCCAUCAGGAGCAGGCCUGUUGGAAAUCAAAAAAUAGGAGAUGAGUAUUUUACAUUCAUCACUGAGUGCAAGGACCCCAAAGCCUGCACCAUUCUCCUCCGGAGGGCCAGCAAAGAGAUUCUCUUAGAAGUAGAACACAACCUCCAGGAUGCCAUGCAAGUGUGUGGCAACGUUCUCCUGGACCCCCAGCUGGUGCCAGGUGGUGGGGCCUCUGAGAUGGCUGUGGCCCAUGCCUUGACAGAAAAAUCAAACGCCAUGACUGGUGUGGAACAAUGGCCACACAGGGCUGUUGCACAGGCCCUAGAGGUCAUUCCCCGUACCCUGAUCCAGAACUGUGGGGCCAGCACCAUCCGUCUGCUUACCUCCCUUCGGGCCAAGCAUACCCAAGAGAACUGUGAGACCUGGGGUGUGAAUGGUGAGACGGGUGCUUUGGUGGACAUGAAAGAACUAGGCCUAUGGGAGCCACUGGCUGGGAAGCUGCAGACGUAUAAGACAGCAGUGGAGACGGCAGUUCUGCUGCUGCGGAUUGAUGACAUUGUCUCAGGCCACAAAACGAAGGGCGAUGAUCAGGCAAGGCUGAGCUCCUGAUGCUGGCCAGGAAUGA